This 254-nucleotide ribosomal RNA is filed under the name uncultured bacterium. Its description in RNAcentral is "partial 16S ribosomal RNA". It matches the Rfam family "Bacterial small subunit ribosomal RNA", at positions 524 to 777 of the family's 1533-position model. The record is from RNAcentral.
UACGAAGGGUGCAAACGUUGCUCGGAAUCAUUGGGCGUAAAGGGCGCGUAGGCGGCUUGGCAAGUGGAUGGUGAAAUCCCUCGGCUUAACCGAGGAACUGCCGUCCAAACUGCUUCGCUUGAGACCGGGAGAGGUGAGUGGAAUUCCCAGUGUAGCGGUGAAAUGCGUAGAUAUUGGGAGGAACACCAGUGGCGAAGGCGGCUCACUGGACCGGUACUGACGCUGAUGCGCGAAAGCGUGGGGAGCAAAGCGGG